GACGAACGCUGGCGGCAUGCCUAACACAUGCAAGUCGAACGAGACCUUCGGGUCUGGUGUAGCCCGGGUGCGUAACGCGUGGGAACCUGCCCUUAAGUUCGGCAUAACUCCCCGAAAGGGGUGGUAAUCCCGGAUAAUGUCUUCGGACCACAGAUUUAUCGCCUUUGGAUGGGGCCGCGGUGGAUUAGCGAGGUGGUAGGGUAAAAGCCUACCAAGGCGCCGAGCCAGAGCUGGUCUGAGAGGAGGAUCAGCGACACUGGGACUGAGACACGGCCCAGACGCGUACGGGAGGCAGCAGUGGGGAAUAUUGGACAAUGGGCGAAAGCCUGAUCCAGCAAUGGCGCGUGAGUGAUGAAGGGCUUAGGGUUGUAAAGCUCCUUUACCCGGGAGGAUAAGGACAGUACCGGGAGAAUAAGCUCCGGCUAACUCGGG
Molecule: ribosomal RNA, 432 nt
Filed under: uncultured bacterium
Lineage: Bacteria
Description: partial 16S ribosomal RNA
Rfam family: Bacterial small subunit ribosomal RNA
Source: RNAcentral